RNAcentral lists this long non-coding RNA (218 nucleotides) under Zostera marina. RNAcentral describes it as "long non-coding RNA (ZMAR_LNC004601)". The record is from RNAcentral. Lineage: Eukaryota; Viridiplantae; Streptophyta; Magnoliopsida; Alismatales; Zosteraceae.
GGAUCACUUUAGAUGGCGGAAAUCCGGCAUCUAAAGCCCGCCAUACAAGGUCGGAUUUCUUGUAGUGAGAACAGCAGAAUACCACCAUUAAGGUUUCCACAAAUUCAAAAGCAAUAGUGCCACAUAACAACAAUAAACCAGUACACAUAGUAGAAUUAGAACCAUCUACAAAUCGUACUAAACCUACAACUAUCAAGAGAUUCUCAGCUCAAGAGAGG